Seriola aureovittata is the source of this 883-nucleotide long non-coding RNA. RefSeq lists it as uncharacterized. The transcript has 2 exons. NCBI's taxonomy places the organism in Eukaryota, Metazoa, Chordata, Actinopteri, Carangiformes, Carangidae. The record is from RefSeq and is a predicted model, not a curated record.
CACUAAUACACACACACACACACACACACACACACACACACACACACACACACACACACACACACACACACACACACACACACACUGUCUAUGGGAAUCUCACACAUGGAGCUGCCCCUUGGGGUAAAAAUCCAAAUGUUGAGCCUGCUGCUCAAAUACGACAACACAUUUAAAUUCUCUAUAAACUGCCGGCUGCACGGGAGCUGAAAGACAUCAGGGAGUAAGAUCUGUUCAUUACAAAUUCAUAAUUGGGGAGUGUUACCUUCGUAGCUGAGAACACUUCUCAGAGCAGGAGAUGGUUAAACUAAACAACAUCAGCCCGGAUGUCACAGCGUGAUAGAUCCCAUCUGGAGUGACUCUGCACUAUAAACUGUCUGACGGAUGGCUGACGUCUGGAGCGUACCCUUGACCGAGACAUGGAGUCAGAAACAACCCGCUGACCUUUCAAAAUGAAAACAACCUGUUUGCACACCAGCCAGUAACAUUCCUGCAUUAAAACAUCCAACUUUUUUCCUCCAGCUUGAGGAAAUCAGUGUUGGUGUGAAAUCUUCAAGUCUGUCCUCCUGAACUUCAUGUGCUGAUUUUUCUUUUUUUUUUUCAUUCAGCUUGCUGGCUCUGUGUAGCUUUCUCUUAUUAACUAUUUCCUCUUGCACAUACAUCUUAAAAGAAUUAACUAGAAUACCAGUAUGAAAUUAAUGUCUCACUAGAUCCUGUUUCUUUGUAUAAAAUCCUUGCUUUUUCCGAGUCCUGCAGCCACUCUAAUAAUAUAUGCAUUUGUCUUUAGUCAACAUGCCUGUUUAACUAAGACUUUCAUGAGGGUAAUAAGGUUCUGAUGCAGGAAGCAUGGGCCAAAAGGGUGUAUUAAAUAUGAAAAUUGCUCCGA